RNAcentral lists this unclassified non-coding RNA (350 nucleotides) under uncultured fungus. RNAcentral's name for it is "partial contains small subunit ribosomal RNA, internal transcribed spacer 1, and 5.8S ribosomal RNA". The stretch from base 1 to 137 matches the Rfam family "Eukaryotic small subunit ribosomal RNA", at positions 1759 to 1831 of the family's 1831-position model. The record is from RNAcentral. Lineage: Eukaryota; Fungi.
ACAAACUUGGUCAUUUAGAGGAAGUAAAAGUCGUAACAAGGUUUCCGUAGGUAAGUUGAUAGAAGGUUUCAAUCUCUCUAUGCUUUGAAUAAUUUGCUGACUUUUUUCUUUUAGGUGAACCUGCGGAAGGAUCAUUACCGAGUGUAACCACCCCGUAAAAAGGGGGGUAACCUCCCGUCCUUUGCAGGCCCUUUCUAGGGGCUUUUGACUUUCUGCUUCGGCGGGUUUACCCCCGCCGGAACACCCUCAAAAUUCUGGUUAUAAAACCGUUCAGUCCGAGAACUUUUUUAAAAUUAUGAAAAACUUUCAACAACGGAUCUCUUGGUUCUGGCAUCGAUGAAGAACGCAGC